AUUCAGUUGCACAAAAUAAUUUGCCACGUAUCAACUCAACGGACGAAGCCAUUUGACGCUUAACUUAUCAGAACGUUAAGAAAUCUGAAAGAUCGAAUGUUCAAAGCUUCACCUUCGACCAGUAAAAGAUAAAUCAAACGAAGUUACAAUUCCAAACAAGAACAAUAUGCUUACCAAAAACAAAUCACUGCCGUCGUAACCAAGAGAUGGAAUCGUCAGGAAUAAGAAAUCUGUCGUACAUUCAGCAAAUAAUUAAUGUGGUACAAAAGGAACUUGCUCAGUUUUUCAUUAAACAAUGGAAUUCUCGUUACAAAUCAACUAAUGGAGAAUGGGAUGAUACAGAGAACAGUGGUAACAAAUUUUACACUUUGGAAGCAGGAAGAAAAAUAGACCAAAAAACACGACAAAAA
Molecule: long non-coding RNA, 410 nt
Organism: Xenia sp. Carnegie-2017
Lineage: Eukaryota; Metazoa; Cnidaria; Anthozoa; Malacalcyonacea; Xeniidae
Exons: 3
Source: RefSeq, a predicted model, not a curated record